This 3423-nucleotide long non-coding RNA is filed under the name Cicer arietinum (chickpea). Its description in RNAcentral is "long non-coding RNA (CARI_LNC000051)". Lineage: Eukaryota; Viridiplantae; Streptophyta; Magnoliopsida; Fabales; Fabaceae. The record is from RNAcentral.
UUAACUAAGAGGAAUUUAUGAUUUAUAAUCUCUCAUAUUUAGAUUCAUAACAAACCAUGUGGGAAGAAGAAAUAUAUUUUUUUCUUCUCAUUCCUGAGAUUCUCUCUAGUUAAAAGGUUAUUUUGGACAAGAGUGAUUUGAUUUUGGAUAAUCUUAGUCCUUUUUUCUUCUGCCGUGCCUGGUUUAAAAUCCUGCAGUGUGUGUUGCUUUAAGUAAUGACUCCCGGCCUGUGUGUUAUAAGCAUUGGAUGAUGAGAACAGUGAUUUAAAGUAUUUGGGUGGUUAUAAAGCAUUUUGUAUUGUAGCGAUUACUUCCGAAUAACUCAAUCUCUGGCUUCUAAGCAUAUACAUCUCUGUAGCUCCUUGCUCUCUAUAUCAAACUUCAGGCCGUUUUAAUCACAUGUAAUUUCUCUAUCCUCUUCUUUUUCUGGUUUUGUUUUCACUUAAUUAGUUUUCCUAGUUCCUGCUAAAUCUUUGUUUGAAAUUCUGUUUAAUUACAUCUUUAGUUUCUUCUGUCAUUUUUUACUUUCAUGAAUCUUUCACUAUUUAGAAUUAGAACCACCUCCUAACCAUAUAUAUUCUGAAAUUUUUUAGUUGACCAGAUCCAUAUUAGGGUGCUGCGUUUGCAUGCUAAUAGGAUUGGGUUCAUACAGAUGGCAGAAUACUUGAGUUUGUAGCCUUAUUUGAUAUGCUUUUGCCAAAAAUAGCCUCUUUUUAUUCUGUUUUUUUUUAUGCUCAAUCUUUUUUUUUCUGUUAAAUUAUUGAAUGUGAAUAUAUCUUCAUCUUGGUAGUUGAUGGUUGCCAAAAUCGAUGUAAGUAGCAUGAAAGAAAAUUUAUUAUAAUGAGUGAGUGAUGACAGUGUUAUCAUACCAUGAGAAAGAGACAUACAUAUAUAUACUAAAGCAAUUUUGAUGAAAUACCAAGUGCAUGAAUUAACUGUGCUAUAGGUAGAUAUAAGCUACAUUAUUGUGGUUACAGAAUUAAGCAAGUUUAUUGGCUGAAAUAACACUAUAUUAGUUUUUGUUUUUUGUUGAAAAUCAUUCUUUAUUUUCUCAACUUUAAAGAGAUAGGAAACUGAUUCUAGUGAAGUUCUGCUAAACUCAACAUGAAUAAGUUGAACUUAUUCAUCUCCUAACAAUUCAAGGAGAAAAGUCUUGUAAUUUCCCCAUGUCUUCCUAGCCACAGUAUCAUGAAUGGUGGCAUUGUUUCUCUUUACAAAAAGGUCUUUGAUUUCCUUUAAAUCCUUCUCUGCACGAGUGAUGAUAACACGACUCAAAGCAUCUUCUUCAUUUACCAAAUCAUUCAAGGCGUGGCAUAACACCUAGAUCAAGUUAUUACAUACAUGUUUAAUUAAAGCUAUAGAACAAAGAAAUUAUGAAUGGAUACUACAACGACUUAAUGACUUUGGUUACCUUAGCCAAAUAUCUUUGAGUGUUGUUGAUGCAACGAAUAGUAGUACGCAAUGCUCCAUUGUACUCAUCAAUUGGACUACCUGAUAAUCCCUAUAGUAGGCAACAGCAAAUCUCAUUCCAUACCCUUUAUUAAGUUUAAUAAAUCAAUGAGUUUGUUACGCACAUAAUGGGAGUUCUCCUUUUUCAAUCAGGUUUUUGUGUGUGCACAAUUCGAAUCUAUGACCACUUGUUUAAGAUGAUCGAAUCUUUACCACAAUACCAACCUCAUUUGGUACCUUGAUUUAAGUUUUUAUUAAUUGUUGUCACAACUAUAUCUUGGAAGUACAAAAAACCUUUGAUUUAUAUGCGAUUUUGUUAUCUCUAUAUAAUUUCCAAAAGGCCAUGAUAUCCUUGAUUUAUAUUUAAAGAAUUUAAGUUGUAAUAUCAUUUCUUUGAUAAUUGUUUUGCAGGACUAGAAACUCAUCUUACCUUGGUAAUUGUUGUGCCAUAUAAGUCUUUAAAGAUGUUGAAAGUUGCACAAAGCUGCUUCUUACUUCUUGUGCUUAAAAUUCUAAUCAUUUCAUCAUCAUUAAAAGCUUUCUUUUCAACCAAUUGAUGAAGUAUGUUUGCUUCAGAAUGAGCCACAUUCUCAUCAAACUCAUCUCCACCAUACCUGUAAGUGCUUAUAACUGCAACCAACAACUGUAUGAAAAAUAGUAAGUUUUGCUAUUUUAAUUGCAAUUGAAGUGUACAAAAAAUCACACAAAACUAGUGUUUGAGGUGAGAGUUGUCUAGAGCUAUUGAGCUUGGUGCCUAGAUUGUCCAACAAAUAAUUUAAAAUAAAUUGAUAUUAUCUUAUAUUUUAAAGUGAAAAUUGUCUAACUAAUAAAAUUUUAUUUAGGUAAUUUCUAGUAAAUGUGAUACCUAGGUUUCUCUCCGACCCAUCUUUUUUAGACCCAAAUUCUCUACAGGCAGAAGAACCACACAGUCAUACAAUCAAGAGAUCUCAAUUGUCGAAUGAAAAUCGAAUAGCUUAUAUUUUGAUUGUACCAAAUAGGUUUAAAAGUAAAACUUAGUUUAAGUUCAAUUUUUAUUCAACGGCCAAGACAUACUAGCAAUAGGGUUAUUGCAUGUAAAUGACAUACUAGCAAUGCAAAAAAAAUUCUUGUGACAUUCCUCUUCUAUAUUCAAAUCAACAAGAAAACAAUUCACUCUCCCAAAUGCUUAAUUAAUUUUAAAACAUUGUCCUCAUUAUAAAAAUCUAAUUACAUAAAGCUUAAAAUAACACAUACUUUGCGAAUGUCACCACUAGUUUGGGAAGCAACAUCUUCUUCAAGGCAAUGCUUAUAUAGAGAGUGAUAAGAACGCUUUACACCCAGAAGCUCUUCAGAAUUUCUUGUGCAAACAAUCUCAAUAAUUACUUUGUAAUCUGGUGUUGCCUUCUUUAAUGCCUCAUUAAUAAGUGUUGCGUCUCUUUCAGCUGGAUCCAUUGUCCAAUGGCAUACGGCUCUCUAGUUUUAAUGAUAUUUUAAAAUCAUAUUUACAAUUAGAAUGUUAUUCAUUCAAAACAUAUAGCCAAAAUAUUUUAUUUUAAGUGUUUGAAACCUAUUUCAAUCAAUUAGAACAUUAAUUUAUAAAAAUGUUAGUGUUAUGAAUUGUAAUAUUUUUACCUCAAAGUUUCCUGAAAGUUCAGAUUUUAAUUGUUCGAUAAGAUCCUGAUGAUAAAUUUCUUUAUAAGCCAACCUCACAAGUUUCCUUUGAGCUUCAUUUCUGUGUGCUAGUAUAGAUACAAGCAUUGUCUCAUCUGUCCCGAAUCCUAUACACAAUAAAAACCAUGAAUUUAUUAUGUUAAAGCUAUUAUAUGGUUUAUAAAAAGUUAUAAAGGGGAUUUACCUAAAAUUUGUAAGAACUAAAAUGCGUUAAAUAAUUGUUUUAAAGUGAUAUAUGCAGUUAACAAUUUUUUUUUUGCAGAAACAUAACCUUUGCAUGCUCUCAUGAUAGCUUCAGCAUCUUCAAUUGGAGAUGAAUCUUUU